This 72-nucleotide transfer RNA is filed under the name Phytophthora infestans (potato late blight agent). RNAcentral's name for it is "tRNA-Cys". It matches the Rfam family "tRNA". Rfam says of the family: Transfer RNA (tRNA) molecules are approximately 80 nucleotides in length. Their secondary structure includes four short double-helical elements and three loops (D, anti-codon, and T loops). The record is from RNAcentral. Lineage: Eukaryota; Oomycota; Peronosporomycetes; Peronosporales; Peronosporaceae.
GCGCGGGUAGCUCAGUGGUAGAGCGUUCGAUUGCAGCUCGAAGGGUCACUGGUUCAAUACCGGUCCCGCGCU